Molecule: long non-coding RNA, 371 nt
Filed under: Struthio camelus australis
Lineage: Eukaryota; Metazoa; Chordata; Aves; Struthioniformes; Struthionidae
Description: lncRNA (ENSSCUG00000017755.1)
Source: RNAcentral
UAUUAUCUUUCUACUAUUUAGGACUUUGUAUGUAACAAUAUAUUUCUUAUUCUGCAGUUGAAGGAUAUCAAGAGAUCAAUAAAUCUUCCAGAUGAUCAGGAGAGCGGGAAGAAACAAAUCAUAAACUCUGUUAUAGCAGACAUUAAUUUUCCUGCUUACAGUACAGCAAUGAAGCAUCACAAAGCUCAGAUAGCCUCCCGAACUUUCACUGGAUUUUGAGACAUCUAGUGAUUUCAGAUAAGGGUCUCCACUGGUUUCCAAACAUUGGGUUGUAAACAUACAGUCAAUGAAAUUGAAAAUACCUAAUCAACAACGAGCACCACAGAAGGUAAGUGUUAAUUUAUUUUUACCAACCAAAUUCAAGAACACAC